Molecule: ribosomal RNA, 266 nt
Filed under: Salmonella enterica
Lineage: Bacteria; Pseudomonadati; Pseudomonadota; Gammaproteobacteria; Enterobacterales; Enterobacteriaceae
Description: partial 23S ribosomal RNA
Rfam family: Bacterial large subunit ribosomal RNA
Source: RNAcentral
GACUCAGUGAAAUUGAACUCGCUGUGAAGAUGCAGUGUACCCGCGGCAAGACGGAAAGACCCCGUGAACCUUUACUAUAGCUUGACACUGAACAUUGAGCCUUGAUGUGUAGGAUAGGUGGGAGGCUUUGAAGCGUGGACGCCAGUCUGCGUGGAGCCGACCUUGAAAUACCACCCUUUAAUGUUUGAUGUUCUAACGUGGACCCGUGAUCCGGGUUGCGGACAGUGUCUGGUGGGUAGUUUGACUGGGGCGGUCUCCUCCUAAAG